Molecule: ribosomal RNA, 1497 nt
Filed under: uncultured bacterium
Lineage: Bacteria
Description: bacterial SSU rRNA
Rfam family: Bacterial small subunit ribosomal RNA
Source: RNAcentral
AACGAACGCUGGCAGCGUGGAUUAGGCAUGCAAGUCGAACGGGAAGCCGUGAGUUCAAUCCUUCGGGAGAGAUCAUGCGGUGGAGAGUGGCGUAAGGGUGAGGAACGCGUGGGUAAUUUGCCUUCGAGUUGGGGACAACCCUCCGAAAGGAGGGCUAAUACCGAAUAUGGUCUCCUGUCGCAUGGCAGGAAGAUUAAAGGUGGGGACCCUUCGGGGCCCAUCGCUUGAAGAGAAGCCCGCGUCCCAUCAGCUUGUUGGUGAGGUAACGGCUCACCAAGGCUUACGGGUAGCUGGUCUGAGAGGAUGAUCAGCCACACUGGGACUGAGACACUGCCCAGACUCCUACGGGAGGCUGCAGUCGAGGAUCAUUUGCAAUGCGCGGAAGCGUGACAAUGCGACGCUGCGUGAAGGAUGAAGGCCUUCGGGUCGUAAACUUUUGUCAUUCGGAAACAAAGGCAAUAGGGUUAAUACCCCUAUUGAUUGAGGGUACCGAAAGAGGAAGCCACGGCUAACUCUGUGCCAGCAGCCGCGGUAAUACAGAGGUGGCGAGCGUUGUUCGGAUUUACUGGGCGUAAAGGGUGCGUAGGUGGUUUUGUAUGUCGGAUGUGAAAGCCCAUGGCUCAACCGUGGAAGUGCAUCUGAAACUGCGGAACUAGAGUGCAGGAAGGGAGAGCGGAAUUCUUGGUGUAGCGGUGAAAUGCGUUGAUAUCAAGAAGAACACCGGCGGCGAAGCGGCUCUCUGGAAUGCUACUGACACUGAGCACGAAAGCUAGGGUAGCGAACAGAUUAGAUACCCUGGUAGUCCUAGCUGUAAACGGUGUGAACUUGGUGUAGGGGGAAUUGACCCCCCCUGUGCCGAAGCUAACGCAUUAAGUUCACCGCCUGGGGAGUACGACCGCAAGGUUAAAACUCAAAGAAAUUGACGGGGGCCCGCACAAGCGGAGGAGCAUGUGGCUUAAUUCGAUGCAACGCGAAGAACCUUACCAGGGCUUGACAUGCAGCUGCAAACCUCCUGAAAGGGAGGAAUCCUUCGAGGGUGCUGUGCAGGUGCUGCAUGGCUGUCGUCAGUUCGUGCCGUGAGGUGUUGGGUUAAGUCCCGCAACGAACGCAACCCUUAUGUUUAGUUGCCACCCCCGAUUUAUCGGGGAGCACUCUAGACAGACUGCCCGUGCAAGCGGGAGGAAGGUGGGGAUGACGUCAAGUCAGUAUGGCCCUUACGCCCUGGGCUGCACACGUGCUACAAUGACGGGUACAGAAGGACGCAAUACCGCGAGGUGGAGCAAAUCCUCAAAACCCGUCCCAGUUCGGAUUGGAGUCUGCAACUCGGCUCCAUGAAGUUGGAUUCGCUAGUAACGGCGUAUCAGCAACGAUGCCGUGAAUACGUUCCCGGGCCUUGUACACACCGCCCGUCACAUCAUGAAAGCCGUCUGCACUCGUAGUCGUUGAUCCAACCUGCAAAGGAGGAAGACGCCGAAGGUGUGGGUGGUGAUUGGGAUG